CUGUUAAGACUAGCCAUGCAUGUCUAAGUAUAAAUGGUAUACAGUGAAACUGCGAAUGGCUCAUUAAAACAGUUAUAGUUUAUUUGGUAAUCGAAUUUACAUGGAUAACCGUGGUAAUUCUAGAGCUAAUACAUGCUGUAAGCCCGACUUUUCGGAAGGGCCGUAUUUAUUAGAUAACAGACCAAUGCCCCCCCGGGCUUUGUGGUGACUCAUAGUAACUAAUCGGAUCGCAUGGGCCUGUCCCGCGACAAACCAUUCAAGUUUCUGCCCCAUCAGCUUUCGAUGGUAGUGUAUUGGACUACCAUGGCUUUUACGGGUAACGGAGGAUUAGGGUUCGAUUCCGGAGAGGGAGCCUGAGAAACGGCUACCACAUCUAAGGAAGGCAGCAGGCGCGUAAAUUACCCAAUCCUAAUUCAGGGAGGUAGUGACAAGAAAUAAUGGGUCGGAACUAACGUUCCGGGACCGCAAUGAGAUGAAUUUACACCCCUUUUCGAGGAUCA
This 500-nucleotide ribosomal RNA is filed under the name uncultured eukaryote. Its description in RNAcentral is "SSU rRNA". It matches the Rfam family "Eukaryotic small subunit ribosomal RNA", at positions 36 to 546 of the family's 1831-position model. The record is from RNAcentral.